Molecule: non-coding RNA, 250 nt
Filed under: Clostridium tetanomorphum
Lineage: Bacteria; Bacillati; Bacillota; Clostridia; Eubacteriales; Clostridiaceae
Description: T-box sequence
Rfam family: T-box leader
About the family: Uncharged tRNA acts as the effector for transcription antitermination of genes in the T-box leader family. T-boxes are found upstream of many aminoacyl-tRNA synthetase genes and some amino acid biosynthetic genes usually in Gram-positive bacteria.
Source: RNAcentral
UAUAAGACAGUGAAGAGAAGAGUAAGUAUAAAAGGUAGUUAUAGCGAGUCGAUGGUGGUGAGAGAUCGAUACGAGAUUUAUACAGAAGAACAUCUCUGAGUUUCUAACUGAAAUCAAUAUUUUGAAAGUAGGCUUAGACGGAAUCCAUACCGUUAAAAUUGGGAAGUAUUGAUUGAUACUUUUACUUAAGUUGAGCUUAUUUUAAGCUAAUUAGGGUGGUACCGCGGAAUUUCAACCUUUCGUCCCUUUA